CCUACGGGUGGCAGCAGUGGGGAAUAUUGGACAAUGGGCGAAAGCCUGAUCCAGCCAUGCCGCGUGUGUGAAGAAGGCCUUCGGGUUGUAAAGCACUUUCAGUGGGGAAGAAAGCCUUGGGGCUAAUACCCUCGAGGAAGGACAUCACCCACAGAAGAAGCACCGGCUAACUCCGUGCCAGCAGCCGCGGUAAUACGGAGGGUGCGAGCGUUAAUCGGAAUUACUGGGCGUAAAGCGCGCGUAGGCGGUCUGAUAAGCCGGUUGUGAAAGCCCCGGGCUCAACCUGGGAACGGCAUCCGGAACUGUCAGGCUAGAGUGCAGGAGAGGAAGGGAGAAUUCCCGGUGUAGCGGUGAAAUGCGUAGAGAUCGGGAGGAAUACCAGUGGCGAAGGCGGCCUUCUGGACUGACACUGACGCUGAGGUGCGAAAGCGUGGGUAGCAAACAGGAUUAGAUACCCCAGUAGUC
This 465-nucleotide ribosomal RNA is filed under the name Vreelandella stevensii. Its description in RNAcentral is "partial 16S ribosomal RNA". It matches the Rfam family "Bacterial small subunit ribosomal RNA", at positions 338 to 795 of the family's 1533-position model. Lineage: Bacteria; Pseudomonadati; Pseudomonadota; Gammaproteobacteria; Oceanospirillales; Halomonadaceae. The record is from RNAcentral.